CAGAAUCAUAGAAUGUUAACACUGGCUUCUUACAGAGGCUGGAAAUCCAUCCUUCAUUUCACAUAGAAGCCAAUGAGGUCCAGAGAAGUUUUAUGAGUUCCCUCAAGGUCACGCAGGAAAAAUAGAUAAAGCCAAAACUGGAAGCCAGCUCACCAAAGCCCUGGAAGAUAUUCAAGAAGAGCUUGUAUAACAAGUGGCAUGCAUCAUUUCCUUUAGAUUCCAGCUAUCAGUGAUCAGAAAACGUGACCGUUUUGAACUUAUUAAUAAUGAGUGUGGAUUGCUAAAGUUUAAUUGAUCGUGGAUCAACGUGUGUUGAGCAUUCCACAUAUAGGCCCCAGAGACAUCUCAAAAUCAACAUAUCUAGAACCAAAUGCAUGAUCUUCUCUCACAAGCUUGUUCCUUCCUCUUUGUGCCUCAUCCUGUCAAAUGACACCACCAUCCAGCUAAGCAUUAUCUUUACUUCUUAGUCACCAGUGGUAUAUUAUAAAAUAUUCAGCACAGAAGUUCAAAGAACAGUGUCAGUCCUGGCUCUGCAAUUUAUUGCUGCAUGAUCUUGAGCAAACUGCUUAAGAUUUCUGAGCUUCAGUGUCACCUUUCUUGAAAAUAGAGAUAUAAAUAGUGACUAUUGAGAAUGAAAUGAAAUUGUGCAAAUAUGAC
RNAcentral lists this long non-coding RNA (657 nucleotides) under Equus caballus (horse). Its description in RNAcentral is "lncRNA (ENSECAG00000051669.1)". The record is from RNAcentral. Lineage: Eukaryota; Metazoa; Chordata; Mammalia; Perissodactyla; Equidae.